AACGACUGCUAAGACUGGAUAGGAGAUAAGAAGGCAUCUUUUUAUUUUUAAAAGACCUAGCAAUAGGUAUGCUUAGGGAAGAGCUUGCGUCACAUUAGUUAGUUGGUGGGGUAAUGGCCUACCAAGACGAUGAUGUGUAGCCGGGCUGAGAGGUCGAACGGCCACAUUGGGACUGAGACACGGCCCAAACUCCUACGGGAGGCAGCAGUAAGGAAUUUUCGGCAAUGGAGGAAACUCUGACCGAGCAAUGCCGCGUGAACGAUGAAGUAUUUCGGUACGUAAAGUUCUUUUAUUAGGGAAGAAAAGAUGGUGGAAAAACCAUUAUGACGGUACCUAAUGAAUAAGCCCCGGCUAACUAUGUGCCAGCAGCCGCGGUAAUACAUAGGGGGCAAGCGUUAUCCGGAAUUAUUGGGCGUAAAGGGUGCGUAGGCGGUUAAAUAAGUUUAUGGUCUAAGUGCAACGCUCAACGUUGUGAUGCUAUAAAAACUGUUUAGCUAGAGUUGGAUAGAGGCAAGUGGAAUUCCGUGUGUAGUGGUAAAAUGCGUAAAUAUACGGAGGAACACCAGAAGCGAAGGCGGCUUGCUGGGUCUUAACUGACGCUGAGGCACGAAAGCGUGGGGAGCAAACAGGAUUAGAUACCCUGGUAGUCCACGCCCUAAACGAUGAGUACUAAACGUUGGAUAAAACCAGUGUUGAAGUUAACACAUUAAGUACUCCGCCUGAGUAGUACGUACGCAAGUAUGAAACUUAAAGGAAUUGACGGGACUCCGCACAAGCGGUGGAUCAUGUUGUUUAAUUCGAAGGUACCCGAAAAACCUCACCAGGUCUUGACAUGCUUUUGCAAAGCUGUAGAAAUACAGUGGAGGUUAUCAGAAGCACAGGUGGUGCAUGGUUGUCGUCAGCUCGUGUCGUGAGAUGUUGGGUUAAGUCCCGCAACGAGCGCAACCCUUGUUGUUAAUUGCCAUCAUUAAGUUGGGGACUUUAGCAAGACUGCCAAUGAUAAAUUGGAGGAAGGUGGGGACGACGUCAAAUCAUCAUGCCCCUUAUGACCUGGGCUACAAACGUGAUACAAUGGCUGUUACAAAGGGUAGCUAAAGCGUAAGCUUCUGGCGAAUCUCAAAAAUGCAGUCUCAGUUCGGAUUGAAGUCUGCAACUCGACU
This 1160-nucleotide ribosomal RNA is filed under the name Narcissus sp. phyllody phytoplasma. RNAcentral's name for it is "bacterial SSU rRNA". It matches the Rfam family "Bacterial small subunit ribosomal RNA", at positions 155 to 1317 of the family's 1533-position model. Lineage: Bacteria; Bacillati; Mycoplasmatota; Mollicutes; Acholeplasmatales; Acholeplasmataceae. The record is from RNAcentral.